This 77-nucleotide small RNA is filed under the name Arabidopsis thaliana (thale cress). RNAcentral describes it as "ATSL203730". Lineage: Eukaryota; Viridiplantae; Streptophyta; Magnoliopsida; Brassicales; Brassicaceae. The record is from RNAcentral.
UAAUUUUAGAGUUUCACAUAUAAUAUACCAUCUUGUAUUAAUAUCGAUCUAAACCUGUCAAUUUUAGGAUUUUUCAG